ACGGGAUGAACACAAAAAGAAUACACAAUAGGUUAAGAAUUUUGAACCAAAUUUGGUUCGAAUCUCUUAUGAUCUGCUAGGCAUUUUAGGCAGUUAUUAAGUGGUACCCAAAUUAGGUAGCCAAUAAAGAGGAGGUUCCAAAUAAGGUAAAGAACUAACAAUUAAUUCCAUUGUGGGUUAGUAAUCAUAGAGAUUACGGUGAUGAUGGCGCUAAGGUUUUGAUAAGAGAAGAGGAAGUAGAUGAGAGAAGGCGUGAAUAUGAACAUCGGGCUGGGUGACAAUUAUUUAGUAUUUUGGCUGGGUAGGUUAGUUUAAAAGGGUUGGAGUAAUGUGGACUGUUGAUUUUGGGAGAUUAAUGUUCCUGAUUUGAAG
This 372-nucleotide long non-coding RNA is filed under the name Nicotiana benthamiana. Its description in RNAcentral is "long non-coding RNA (NBEN_LNC034926)". Lineage: Eukaryota; Viridiplantae; Streptophyta; Magnoliopsida; Solanales; Solanaceae. The record is from RNAcentral.